GAAAUGCGAUAAGUAAUGUGAAUUGCAGAAUUCAGUGAAUCAUCGAAUCUUUGAACGCACCUUGCGCUCCUUGGUAUUCCUUGGAGCAUGCCUGUUUGAGUAUCAUGAAAUCUUCAAAGUAAAUCUUUUGUUAACUCAAUUGGUUUCUACUUUGGUAUUGGAGGUCUUUGCAGCUUCACACCUGCUCCUCUUUGUUCAUUAGCUGGAUCUCAGUGUUAUGCUUGGUUCCACUCGGCGUGAUAAGUUAUCUAUCGCUGAGGACACUGUAAAAGGUGGCCAAGGUAAAUGCAGAUGAACCGCUUCUAAUAGUCCAUUGACUUGGACAAUACUUUUAUGAUCUGAUCUCAAAUCAGGUAGGACUACCCGCUGAUCUUAAGC
RNAcentral lists this unclassified non-coding RNA (378 nucleotides) under plant metagenome. Its description in RNAcentral is "partial contains 5.8S ribosomal RNA, internal transcribed spacer 2, and large subunit ribosomal RNA". The stretch from base 1 to 105 matches the Rfam family "5.8S ribosomal RNA", at positions 50 to 154 of the family's 154-position model. The record is from RNAcentral.